This 731-nucleotide ribosomal RNA is filed under the name uncultured bacterium. RNAcentral describes it as "bacterial SSU rRNA". It matches the Rfam family "Bacterial small subunit ribosomal RNA", at positions 63 to 827 of the family's 1533-position model. The record is from RNAcentral.
CGCACGAGAAGGGGAGCAAUCCCUGAGUAAAGUGGCGUACGGGUGAGUAACACGUGGAUCAUCUACCUUUUAGUGGGGAAUACCCCCGGGAAACUGGGGACAAUACCGCAUAAGCUCGUGAGAGGAAAGCAGCAAUGCGCUGAAAGAGGAGUCCGCGGCUGAUUAGCUAGUUGGUGAGGUAACGGCCCACCAAGGCGAAGAUCGGUAGCCGGCCUGAGAGGGCACACGGCCACACUGGCACUGAAAUACGGGCCAGACUCCUACGGGAGGCAGCAGUGGGGAAUCUUGCACAAUGGAGGAAACUCUGAUGCAGCGACGCCGCGUGAACGAUGAAGCCCUUCGGGGUGUAAAGUUCUUUCGACGGGAACGAUAAUGACGGUACCCGAAGAAGAAGCUGCGGCUAACUACGUGCCAGCAGCCGCGGUAAUACGUAGGCAGCAAGCGUUGUUCGGAAUUACUGGGCGUAAAGAGUGCGCAGGCGGUGCUCUAAGUCUGUUGUGAAAUCUCCCGGCUUAACUGGGAGGGUGCAGCGGAAACUGGAGUGCUUGAGGGUGGGAGAGGUAAGCGGAAUUCCUGGUGUAGCGGUGAAAUGCGUAGAUAUCAGGAGGAACACCUGUGGUGUAGACAGCUUACUGGACCACUUCUGACGCUGANGCACGAAAGCGUGGGUAGCAAACAGGAUUAGAUACCCUGGUAGUCCACGCCCUAAACGAUGCAUACUUGGUGUGAGC